CCUACGGGGGCAGCAGUGGGGAAUAUUGGACAAUGGGCGAAAGCCUGAUCCAGCCAUGCCGCGUGUGUGAAGAAGGCCUUCGGGUUGUAAAGCACUUUCAGUGGGGAAGAAAGCCUUGGGGCUAAUACCCUCGAGGAAGGACAUCACCCACAGAAGAAGCACCGGCUAACUCCGUGCCAGCAGCCGCGGUAAUACGGAGGGUGCGAGCGUUAAUCGGAAUUACUGGGCGUAAAGCGCGCGUAGGCGGUCUGAUAAGCCGGUUGUGAAAGCCCCGGGCUCAACCUGGGAACGGCAUCCGGAACUGUCAGGCUAGAGUGCAGGAGAGGAAGGUAGAAUUCCCGGUGUAGCGGUGAAAUGCGUAGAGAUCGGGAGGAAUACCAGUGGCGAAGGCGGUCUUCUGGACUGACACUGACGCUGAGGUGCGAAAGCGUGGGUAGCAAACAGGAUUAGAUACCCUAGUAGUC
Molecule: ribosomal RNA, 464 nt
Filed under: Vreelandella stevensii
Lineage: Bacteria; Pseudomonadati; Pseudomonadota; Gammaproteobacteria; Oceanospirillales; Halomonadaceae
Description: partial 16S ribosomal RNA
Rfam family: Bacterial small subunit ribosomal RNA
Source: RNAcentral